AGGGCGUCUCACUGUUCUCAAAUAAUAAAAUAAAAUCAACAGAGCAUUUAGAGGAGUUUGAAGCCUGAGCUUUUGGCUCACAGGAAGUCCCUACAUCAUUAUAUGAAGAUUUUGCCAUUUAAUAUGGAGAUCCACAACUAAAACUGUGUGACAGAAGUUAAGGUAGGUUCUCAUUAAAUAUAUAAAAAAUGAAACAAAAAGAAUAAAGACAAAAACAAGGUCAUUUUUUAAAUUGUAUUUUAUUGUUUAGCAUCUUCAUAAGACACUCUUGGGUAUCAUUAUGUCCCUGAGAACAUACAAUAGACAAACAGCACGCACAGACACAUAACACUGACUGCUUUGAGAUUAUUUAACCACAGUGCUUGAACAGUUGAUCCGAGUAUAUAAAUCUUGCAAAAUUAUACCGCAGCCAACAAAUAAAACACGUCUAUAGCAGAAAAGUGCAAAAGCUGUGAAUAAGGGUGGAGGGAAACUGCAUCACAUUGAUUUGGUUACUUUUAUUUAAUCAAAUGCGAAAAAAAAAUACUGGGAUAAAAAGAAUUCAGCCAGAGGAUAAACUAUAAUGCAAUCGUGGUGUCUUUUUCUGCAGUGCGUGUACAUUAAUCAUCUGUUUCAUCUUUCAGCUGUCAAACCCAAGAUCUAAUAUGUGCUCAUAUAACACUCACAAUCCAUGCGUCCGUAUUUUCCCACGUACAUGGCAGUUUCUGAAGAAGGAGAAGGUUUUGUUUGUUUGUUUGUUUGUUUUUUACAGAUAUUUUAGCUCAUCUAAGAAAAGCCCAGAGUUAAGCAAAUUUCCAGUAUAAGUAAAGUAGCUGUAUGGGACAGAAAAAAACAAAAACGUGGUUCUUUAAAUAAUUUAACAAGCUGAAAUCAAUUUAUUUGCAAAAUUCACAGUCUGAAGAAAAUACAUUAAGAUGCACCAGAGUGAUUAAAUUCACUCUCUGUGCAUGUUCAGAACAGCAUACAGUAAAUAUCCAGUGUACGACCUCCGUUCCCAGCAGAGGAACUAUACAUCCUUGAUCGAUACACUCUGUGUUUGGGGACAAUGCAUUAGUAAGUGAUAACUCGGGAGACUUCCUGUCCUGCUGCUAUCCUUGUCUCUACCGUGAAUCAGAAAAUCUUCACCUACAUCCAUGUAAUGUAUUCUCUUAUUUCACACAGAGCAAAAAGUGCUUAUUGGACAGCAAUAAUUAUACAAGCAAGCAUUAAUUAUACUGGGAACAAAGCCUGGAGGUGCUGGGAGUCCGUUUUUUUGUGCUGAAGUCCAAAAAUAUCCUUUUUCUAUGAAAGAUUUUAAGCCUAAAAAUCUCUUCCUAUUUGCAUUACUUGCAGUUGCUCUGCUGCUGUUUUCCAUCCAAUAUCAGAAGGCUUUAUCCUCUUGUAUAGUAUUUAUUGGCCUUGUCUGCAUGUCAGAACCAUAACAAAUGAGACCCAUGUGAAACACAGUUACUUUAAUCACAAUCCUGCAGCACUGAAGCAAAGCAUGCCAGGGUGGAUUCAUACAGGCUGACAGGAAAUUAACAGGAAGCACAGGAACACCGUAGCUGCACUUGGUUCUUAUUAAUAUUACAUGCUACAUGUUAUAGACAUGCAUGUGAGUGAAGCAUACAUUAUUAAAGCCUCCAGCAGACCCGCUUUGUCCAUACUUUUAAUUCCAUUUCGAAUUUUAAUCUGUAAACACAGGGCAUUAAUUAGUGGUGGGUAUUAACCCGGCUGCUCACACCCUUUUCCAUUUUUUUCAAAUCAGUGCUUCCAAUCUCAUUUAAAUCUAAUCUCAUUUUAGAACAUAAUUAAUCAGAUCUUUCAGUGAGGACAUUAACUAGACCUGCAUGUCAGACAGCUUUCAAAGUCUCAAAGACUACAAAUUAUAGUGGAUUUCUUAGGAUUUAGGAGGCUGAUGUAAGCGAGACGCAACAGAGCAGCGAUGGUAAUGAAAGCAGAAUGAACUGAUGUGUUCUGCUGAUGUUAACGAGACAUUUUAAGUGUUUAUCUCGCGUCUUUCAGCGUUAUCUCAUUCAUUUAAUUAGUUUUUGAGGAUUUUUCCUUUACCUGAAGUUGAGGAUAGAAAUGAUCUGGUUGGAUUUAGGCCUUUGUAAAUAAAACUACUGACUAGUUUGAUCUUGAAGUUCAUUAUUAGUGAGCAUUUAAUUGGGCACAAUCUCUGGACCAAUCUCUGUAUAUACUGAUUCUUUGAAUGCUCACUGGUGGUUGGCAUUCAGUUACAAAAUAUUAGUCCCUUCCUGCAGCUCCCCAUGGUUGAAAUGGUCCUAAUUCUGCCAGCCAGUAGAAAUAAAUGUCAUUUCCUCAGUCUAAACUGGGCCAAAUCUGCACAUAUAAUACUACUCCAAAUUUGGCACAUGUGAGUAUGCUGAUAUUUAACCCCAAUUGGCACAACUCAGCUAGCUACAAAUAUGACUUUUGAAAACAGUUGCAAUAUGUGGCAUUAGACACUUACAAGAGCCUGGAAAUGAUAGCACUUUAUGAUAAACUGUAUUUAAUCAUUUAAUUUGAUAGGAAAAUCAAUUAAUAUUACUCUCUACUUAUUUCUACUCCAGUUUCUCUGAUUUCCAAUUGAGAUUAAAGGCAAAAAGCACUUAUUUCAAAUCUUUUGAUUCAGGUUUCGGAGAACAAAAGCAGAACCGUAGACCUAUCCAUCCACCCCAACCUCCUCCUAAUACUGGUGCUAUAAUACUACACACAGACUAAAUAUAAGCUCAUGUAAUUCAGACACUAGAAGGCGCUGUCAUAGUUAACUCUUAAAUAUGGAUAGGGUUGUAACGGCAUGAAAGAAAAAUAUGAGGACAAUCUUAUAUCUAAUAAUUUUUAAUAAAAAAUAAUAAAGGAACAAAAAAGUCAUUUAUAUAUAUAUAUAUAUAUAUAUAUAUAUAUAUAUAUAUAUAUAUAUAUGUGUGUGUGCACUAGUGGUCCGUGGUGGUACUGCAGCGUCUUACCCAGUCUACCAUCAAGACAGCCAUGUUAGAGAAACUGGAAACUGGAAAUGCAUCUUUACAUCUUUGCAUGACAUGAACAGUCAAAUAAGUGUUUGUAAUGGCUGAUAUUUGGUUGCUCUCUUGGCAUUCACCGCGUGCCUUAAUUGUAUGGACAUUUAAAUCAAGGUCCGCUGUGAACACGAGGAGUGACAACCCAUAUUUCUCUUAUUCCCCUUUGUUCUCAUCUGACUCACAACAUCGUGAUUUUGUACAGUUUUCAUACAUUUAUUGCUUUUUUUUUCAAUGCAGCUGUGGUCUUGUGCACCUCGCUUUAACGUUUCCAGUGAGUCCAUUUUUACCACUGUUUUUCUUUUCUUUUUUUCCCCAGCACUGCUCUGUCCUACUAGAGCUUUCUCUGUCCAGCUUGACUGAAUCACUUCCACUUUAUUCCCGUCCUUAUCUGUCUCAGUAGUUUUUCUGCAACAGCAGCACUCCAGAAAAUAAAAUUGCUGCCAAGUUAUCAAGCGCUGAGGGGGUUCCUCUUUAAUGUAUUUCUAUAAACAGAUAAACAAAUUUCAAUAUAUUGAGCUUGUAAAUCUCCCAUGACACUCAGUGGGCUAUAAAUGUAUUAAAUAUCAAUAUAGUGAACGCUUUAUUGUCACCGUUGGGUUAUAUUGACUAUGACUGCACUGAUUAUUUAUCAUGCCUCCGCAUGCUGCUAAAACUGCCUUACAAAUUGAAUACAGCUGAUCAAAUUACACUGACAGCAACAUUUAUGAUGAUAUUGGUGCUGAUUGUACUAGAUAUUGUGAAUGCAAUCUAUUGACAGCGUUAUAAUACAUUAUUGUUAAAGCAAAAGAGUGGUUCGUUACAAUAACGGCAAGGUUUUUUUACUCAGCUCUGCUCCUCUGCAGUGCUUUGUCUCCUCCUGCAGUCCACACACAGAGAGGCAGCUCAGGAGGACCCUGUAGUGGUCCAUGCAUAGGCGUAAAUGUGACUGUGUGUGCAUAUCUUUCUUUUCCCUGAGAUGUAAAUGGGUGCAGUGUUAGAAGUGGUUCAGUGACAAUCAGUUUAUCCGCUGUGUAUAUGGACAGUUUGCAGAUUUUAGCCCUGUGACUAAAAAUUAUGUCAAAAUCCAUCCAAAUCAUUUGAAUAUUAAUCGCUUCAAUCUCCUCCUUUGGCUUCUAGCAUACUUGAAAUAAUGUCAUCUCUACUGGUAUUGUCAUUUCAUUGGCUUAAUUUGGCAGAAGUUCCACAAAAAGUGUCAUCUGAAGGAUUUCUGGAGGCCUGAAAAAAAAAAAAGAUUAACAUUUGUUCAAUGUAAAAAGAUUUUUUUUUUAACAUCAUGUGACCUCCCUCUGUUUUUUUUCUUCACCCUUUUUUUGCUUUUUAGUUGCGCUGCAUGCAACAGUAAUGCAUCUUCAGCUGCAUUAAACGCAGACAUGGUGCUCACUGAAAUUGAUUGACCGCAUGGAGCAAGUGUAAAAAUCUCUGCAAAUUGAUUUUCAUACCCCCGGAUGAGUGGAAACCAAUAAUGGCUUACUGGAAGACUGGAGGGGAAAAUGCAUUUGGAAGAGGCCAAAAAAUAAAAAAUAAAAAAUCUAAAAUAAUACAGUAUAUGUGUAAAAAGUAUUGCAGAGAUGUGCAGUUUUAAAUCAUUAAAAACACGGCAGCACUGCGGACCAUUAAAGCAUCAUCCUCCAUUAUCCGGCAGCAGCAGCAGCCAUAAUGUACGUUCUUAUACAGCACUGCAUUAGUGACACAGCUGCAGGGGAGGAAGCUGCUGCUGCAAUUUUACUUCUCAUCCCACAUGAGUACACCAUCCUGUCAGCUAAACAGAAAAAAAGAGGAGGGGGGCAGGGGGGCAUCAGGACAUGUAGCCUCUUCUUUUGAUUUGUGCAGAUGAAAAGCAGCAUCAUCAGCAUCAUCUGUGCUGCUCAGCGGCUCUCCGGCAGAGAGGAGGACCCAUCUGCAGCCUCAUUAACCGCUGAAAUGCUAAUGACCCAGAUAGCUCAUGUAGGCUAAAACUGCAGAGAGGAGGGAGGGGGUGGAUGGUUGCCUUUGUGGGGGUCGGGCGUGUGUGCGUGCGUGUGUGUGUGUGUGUGCUAGAGCUUAUAUUGAACAUUUUUAACCAAUACACGACUGCAGGCACCGAAUAAGUCAAAUUACAGUCUGUAAAAACUGGUCUAACAGACAGUAAAACACAAUAAAGAUUUCCGUUUUUGCCUUUUUCCAAUUAUAACAUCAAAUUUACCAGAAAACACCACGGCCUGCCAGAGUUAAAUAUUACAUCUGGUGCAGUAUUUGUGGAUGGAUUUGGGCGUGAAUGCAGAAUUUGGCUCUUUUUUUCGCAACAGAAACAGAAAAAAAGAGAAGUUCCGCAGAGCACGACAGCACACUGCGGCGUUCGCAGGAGCAAAACGCAGAUGAAAGGGUUUUUAAACACACACACACACACACACACACACACACACACACACACACACACACACACACACACACACAACGCCUAUAAUACCUUAGCUUUAAAACGAACAAAUGUGCUGUAAAAGUGUGUAACACCGAACAACAACAAUACCUUUCAGCGGCAGGGUGCAGGAUAAAUGGCGCAGGUAUCUAUUUCUUUUGCCAUUACAGAGCACGUUCUUAUUGUUUGAUGUUUAAAAAUAAAUAAAUAAAAAGGCAGCCCAGACCUCCAUUAAACACACCGACUCUUGAGGCUCUGUGUGCCCGGUGAGAGAACGAUGUAAACCGGCUUUAUUUGCAGCUUGGUCCGCGGUCCUCUUCUCUGGAGGUCCUCCCAGGGAUGGGAUGCUGAGGAUGCGGAGGAAGCGGAGGGAUGUUGCGAGGGAUGCGGAGGUCGGACCGUCCUUCUUCUGCACACGAGCUGAAUAGGCGGUAUUUCUCUCUCUCUCUUUCUCUUUCCAGAGAACACUCUUUAAAGUACAAAUAGUCCAGACCCAUAAAGAGUACAAGAGUCAAGCAAAUAUCCCGAACCCAUCAAAAUCAGGUUUUGUGCGUGCUGGGUGCAGUCCGUGUAGCUGUACGGCAGGAUGGAGGGAGAGAAGUUGGGCGCAGUCAGAUGGAGAGAGGAUAGGGGAGGGGGUG
Molecule: long non-coding RNA, 6038 nt
Organism: Astatotilapia calliptera (eastern happy)
Lineage: Eukaryota; Metazoa; Chordata; Actinopteri; Cichliformes; Cichlidae
Source: Ensembl